GAUGAACGCUAGCGGCAGGCUUAAUACAUGCAAGUCGAGGGGCAGCAGUCCCGCAGCAAUGCGGGAGCUGGCGACCGGCAAACGGGUGCGGAACACGUACAGAACCUUCCUUCGAGCGGGGAAUAGCCCAGAGAAAUUUGGAUUAAUACCCCAUAGCAUUACGAAGUGGCAUCACUUUAUAAUUAAAGAUUUAUCACUCGAAGAUGGCUGUGCGGCUGAUAGGUAGUUGGCGGAGUAACGGCCCACCAAGCCUUCGAUCAGUAACUGGUGUGAGAGCACGACCAGUCACACGGGCACUGAGACGACGGGCCCGACUCCUACGGGAGGCAGCAGUAAGGAAUAUUGGUCAAUGGAACGAAAGUCU
RNAcentral lists this ribosomal RNA (364 nucleotides) under uncultured bacterium. RNAcentral describes it as "bacterial SSU rRNA". It matches the Rfam family "Bacterial small subunit ribosomal RNA", at positions 28 to 384 of the family's 1533-position model. The record is from RNAcentral.